Molecule: long non-coding RNA, 458 nt
Filed under: Mytilus galloprovincialis (Mediterranean mussel)
Lineage: Eukaryota; Metazoa; Mollusca; Bivalvia; Mytilida; Mytilidae
Source: RNAcentral
UGGCUAAGCGAGAAGAAGUUGAACUGGACACUUUGUCAGAAUGGGUUAAAACUAUCAGGUCUCUGAUAAAACGUCGCAUUCACAAGUUGAAAAACUGUGUGAACGAUCGACCAAAGUCCGUUUUCAGAGACAAAAAGGCCAUGAAAUGUCUAUCAUCUCUUCAUGAUAAGUAUGUUGUUGUUCCUGCGGACAAAGCUUCAAAUAAUAUUGUCUUUGUAUGUAAAUCGUAUUACUACGAAUGUCUUGUAAAAGAAUUGGGUAUAAAUGAGCACUCAGGUAAUCCCACAUACAAAGACAUAUCAUUUGACAAGGAUGAGAUUUUAGCAAAUCAUAAGUCCUUCAUGGCUUCAAUAAACAUUACAUUGAACACCAAAUCGGAGGACUUACCUUGUUUGUAUUGGAUACCAAAGCUUCAUAAAAUUCCGUACAAACAACGGUAUAUUGCUGGCUCAUCUUCA